This 253-nucleotide ribosomal RNA is filed under the name uncultured bacterium. RNAcentral's name for it is "partial 16S ribosomal RNA". It matches the Rfam family "Bacterial small subunit ribosomal RNA", at positions 524 to 776 of the family's 1533-position model. The record is from RNAcentral.
UACAGAGGUCUCAAGCGUUGUUCGGAUUCAUUGGGCGUAAAGGGUGCGUAGGCGGCGCGGUAAGUCGGGUGUGAAAUCUCGGGGCUUAACUCCGAAACUGCAUUUGAUACUGUGGUGCUUGAGGACUGGAGAGGAGACUGGAAUUUACGGUGUAGCAGUGAAAUGCGUAGAGAUCGUAAGGAAGACCAGUGGCGAAGGCGGGUCUCUGGACAGUUCCUGACACUGAGGCACGAAGGCCAGGGGAGCAAACGGG